GAAGAAAGACUGAAGGCAGGAGGAGAAGGGGACGACAGAGGAUGAGCUGGUUGGAUGGCAUCUCCGACACAAUGGAUGUGAGUUUGAGCAAGCUCUGGGAGUUGGUGAUGGACAGGGAAGCCUGGCAUGCUGCAGUCCAUGGGGUUGCAAAGAGUCAGACACAACUGAGUGACUGAACUGAACUGAAUACCUUCAUUUGGCCUUACAAGAACCUAGGCAGAGAACUCAACCAUCCCCACCUGGAUUCUUGACCUACAGAACUGUGAGCUAAUCCAUGUGGAUUCAGCUGCUAAAUCUGUGAUCAUUUACUACACAGCCACGGAAAACUGAUUCAGCCCUGGUCCACAACACACAGAGCCCACAAGGACCAGCCCCCAAGUGCCACACCAUCCAUGGAGCAUACGAGGUUUACACUCCAUGCAAGCCACAACCACCCAGUCCACUGUGGGUCCGUCCCAUCCACAGGCGCCUCAAAGUGCCCUCAACACUCACUGUGGAAAGUGUUCUGAGAAGCCUGUUGGAGACAGAGGGUAUUUCCUGCUGCCAGGCCCUCUCCCAGCUGGGUCAAAGGUGGCCACCUUCAGCCAAACACUCAAGCUCCCCCUCUUCAGGGCACCCCUGGGAAGUGGCUGCCUCACCCCAAACUGCAUUUCCCAGCUCUCCUUGCAUCUAGUAUGGCCCUAUGGGGACAAUAAGGCACUUAGAAGCUCCUGGAGCCACAGGCUAGGAGGAGGCUUGGUCACCAUGGAGAAGAACCACGAGCCAACCAGAACACCUGCAUUUUACCAUUAUGAGAAUGAAAGUGAAAGUGAAGUCGCUCAGUCGUGUCUGACUCUCUGGGACCCCAUGGACUGUAGCCUACCAGGCUCCUCCCUCCA
This is a long non-coding RNA of Bos taurus (domestic cattle), 878 nucleotides long. The record is from Ensembl. NCBI's taxonomy places the organism in Eukaryota, Metazoa, Chordata, Mammalia, Artiodactyla, Bovidae.